This 492-nucleotide ribosomal RNA is filed under the name uncultured bacterium. RNAcentral's name for it is "partial 16S ribosomal RNA". It matches the Rfam family "Bacterial small subunit ribosomal RNA", at positions 29 to 507 of the family's 1533-position model. The record is from RNAcentral.
AGUGAACGCUGGCGGUAGGCCUAACACAUGCAAGUCGAACGGCAGCACAGUAAGAGCUUGCUCUUACGGGUGGCGAGUGGCGGACGGGUGAGGAAUACAUCGGAAUCUACUUUUUCGUGGGGGAUAACGUAGGGAAACUUACGCUAAUACCGCAUACGAACUACGGGUGAAAGCAGGGGAUCUUCGGACCUUGCGCGAUUGAAUGAGCCGAUGUCGGAUUAGCUAGUUGGCGGGGUAAAGGCCCACCAAAGCGACGAUCCGUAGCUGGUAUGAGAGGAUGAUCGGCCACACUGGAACUGAGACACGGUCCAGACUCCUACGGGAGGCAGCAGUGGGGAAUAUUGGACAAUGGGCGCAAGCCUGAUCCAGCCAUACCGCGUGGGUGAAGAAGGCCUUCGGGUUGUAAAGCCCUUUUGUUGGGAAAGAAAAGCAGCAGGUUAAUACCCCGCUGUUCUGACGGUACCAAAAGAAUAAGCACCGGCUAACUUCGUG